RNAcentral lists this long non-coding RNA (1626 nucleotides) under Anas platyrhynchos platyrhynchos (common mallard). Its description in RNAcentral is "lncRNA (ENSAPLG00000023825.1)". The record is from RNAcentral. Lineage: Eukaryota; Metazoa; Chordata; Aves; Anseriformes; Anatidae.
AUGACUUUCUCAGGAUCUAAGUAUGCAGAUUUCUGGUGGAAUAGACCUGACUACAGUCAACAGGAAAAUGAUCGUAGCUGCAGCUGUUCAGUAAGCAUGGGAAGUCUGAAGCUGUCUCCAGCACCUCUUCUUCAGCAAAUUGCACAUCUGAUACACCAGAGGACUUUUCUAGAUCCAUGGACAACUUUUCAAGUUGGGAGGAUGGGGGAAUGCUGUGCAAACAGAGUAUCCCUGUGAGCAGUUCCUCAUAACCGUUUUCUCAAGCAGUUGUGGCUGCAGAUUUUCCCAUUCAGUGCCACUACCUGCUCAGACCUGCCCCUGCUACCCUUUCCACAGCGUGAGCACAGCUGCCUGUGGUGCCUUGCAGGAAGCUAGAUAUUACCUUUUUUUUUUUUUUUUUUUUGUAGUUUUUUUUUACCUGGCUUUUUUUUUUCAUUUUGCUUUUCAUGCAGCCCCACAAAAAGUGCCAGGUGUCGUGAUAUGGAACAGGGAGCCAGUAGCAAGAGGUCCUGACUGUACCUUAGGCUGUUGUUACUGCUGAAAACAGCAUAUGAAAUCAACUGUAGCCUGAAGAAUCUGAUUUAUUAUAGUGGUAAAUCCAGGUUUUGAGCACCGAGUCUGAGAUAAGAAACAGCAUAGUCCUUUUAACCUACAAACUUCACUCUGCUUCUUAAAUGCAUUCAAUUUCUUUCCAUUAGUAUCAUUGCCCUUGAAAAGGUGCUGGCUCAGAUAUUGUCCCCCUCCAUUGGUUUAACUUUGUGCUGGAUCACAUAUGAUCUAUCCAUAGCUCACACAAAUCUAGCAUAACAUCCUAAAGAUAGCAUUAAACUGUAUAUUGUCCAGUUUUGCAGAACACAAUUACAUGGUCACACCUGAUCUGGCUCCAUUGUGCACUUCCAUUUACUCCAGAAAUGCAGAGGUCGGGUAUUACUGAUCAUGAAACCAGAAUUACAAGAAAAACAACCUCAUUUUCAUAAGCCUGAUAGACAUUCAUAUUGCCAGCAAAAAAAAGUAUAGAGGCUCAAAAAUUGCAAAAUAGUUGAAAAGAGUCCAGACAACGUACAUCAGUGCUUGUACUGUAAGUUCUUCUUCCAUUUCUAGUGUUGCAGAAGCUUGUCUAAGCCACAAAGUUUGCAUGUAUGCUACAGUUCUCUAAUGCACAUUUUUAAUCUUGCUUUCUUGACUUAAAGUUAAAGCUCAGACCCCCAUUUGUAUGUUAUACCUGUAAAUUCAUAUAUAAACACACAUUUAUACACAUACACAAAUAUGUUUUAUAUGUACUUUAACUUUCUCCACACAUGAUCAGACAUAUUUAACUUCAUAUGCUGCAUAUGUUUUUGUUAGAAGAAGGAGCACAGUCAGUUCCCAGCACAGGUAGUGCAGCCUUCAGCUGAGACUCUAUAGCAGCCUGAGGCUCAACAGCCUGGCAGGAAAACCUGCAAAUCCUGCUGCAUCCCACAGGUUUCUGUGACUGAUAGAAGCACCAUCUCUGCUGGGGCGUUAGAAGUUCCCAAAGAAGUAACCUUUGCUUCACUCUUUCAAACUCACUAAAUUGUUACACAACUGAAUUUUCAGUCUUUUUGAUGCGAUAGGACAGCAAAUAAUAAAUGCAGCCUGGAGAUAUCA